Molecule: ribosomal RNA, 1394 nt
Filed under: metagenome
Description: bacterial SSU rRNA
Rfam family: Bacterial small subunit ribosomal RNA
Source: RNAcentral
AGAGUUUGAUCCUGGCUCAGGACGAACGCUGGCGGCGCGCCUAACACAUGCAAGUCGAACGAGCGAGAGAGAGCUUGCUUUCUCGAGCGAGUGGCGAACGGGUGAGUAACGCGUGAGGAACCUGCCUCAAAGAGGGGGACAACAGUUGGAAACGACUGCUAAUACCGCAUAAGCCCACGGUGCCGCAUGGCACAGAGGGAAAAGGAGCAAUCCGCUUUGAGAUGGUCUCGCGUCCGAUUAGCUAGUUGGUGAGGUAACGGCCCACCAAGGCGACGAUCGGUAGCCGGACUGAGAGGUUGAACGGCCACAUUGGGACUGAGACACGGCCCAGACUCCUACGGGAGGCAGCAGUGGGGAAUAUUGCACAAUGGGGGAAACCCUGAUGCAGCGACGCCGCGUGGAGGAAGAAGGUCUUCGGAUUGUAAACUCCUGUUGUUGGGGAAGAUAAUGACGGUACCCAACAAGGAAGUGACGGCUAACUACGUGCCAGCAGCCGCGGCAAAACGUAGGUCACAAGCGUUGUCCGGAAUUACUGGGUGUAAAGGGAGCGCAGGCGGGAAGACAAGUUGGAAGUGAAAUCUAUGGGCUCAACCCAUAAACUGCUUUCAAAACUGUUUUUCUUGAGUAGUGCAGAGGUAGGCGGAAUUCCCGGUGUAGCGGUGGAAUGCGUAGAUAUCGGGAGGAACACCAGUGGCGAAGGCGGCCUACUGGGCACCAACUGACGCUGAGGCUCGAAAGUGUGGGUAGCAAACAGGAUUAGAUACCCUGGUAGUCCACACCGUAAACGAUGAUUACUAGGUGUUGGAGGAUUGACCCCUUCAGUGCCGCAGUUAACACAAUAAGUAAUCCACCUGGGGAGUACGACCGCAAGGUUGAAACUCAAAGGAAUUGACGGGGGCCCGCACAAGCAGUGGAGUAUGUGGUUUAAUUCGACGCAACGCGAAGAACCUUACCAAGUCUUGACAUCCCUUGACAGGCAUAGAAAUAUGUUUUCUCUUCGGAGCAAGGAGACAGGUGGUGCAUGGUUGUCGUCAGCUCGUGUCGUGAGAUGUUGGGUUAAGUCCCGCAACGAGCGCAACCCUUAUGGUUAGUUACUACGCAAGAGGACUCUGGCCAGACUGCCGUUGACAAAACGGAGGAAGGUGGGGAUGACGUCAAAUCAUCAUGCCCUUUAUGACUUGGGCUACACACGUACUACAAUGGCGUUAAACAAAGAGAAGCGAGACCGCGAGGUGGAGCAAAACUCAGAAACAACGUCCCAGUUCGGACUGCAGGCUGCAACUCGCCUGCACGAAGUCGGAAUUGCUAGUAAUCGUGGAUCCGCAUGCCACGGUGAAUACGUUCCCGGGCCUUGUACACACCGCCCGUCACACCAUGAGAGCCGGGGGGACCCG